GAUGAACGCUGGCGGCGUGCCUAAUACAUGCAAGUCGAGCGAACGGACGAGAAGCUUGCUUCUCUGAUGUUAGCGGCGGACGGGUGAGUAACACGUGGAUAACCUACCUAUAAGACUGGGAUAACUUCGGGAAACCGGAGCUAAUACCGGAUGAUAUUUUGAACCGCAUGGUUCAAAAGUGAAAGACGGUCUUGCUGUCACUUAUAGAUGGAUCCGCGCUGCAUUAGCUAGUUGGUAAGGUAACGGCUUACCAAGGCAACGAUGCAUAGCCGACCUGAGAGGGUGAUCGCCACACUGGAACUGAGACACGGUCCAGACUCCUACGGGAGGCAGCAGUAGGGAAUCUUCCGCAAUGGGCGAAAGCCUGACGGAGCAACGCCGCGUGAGUGAUGAAGGUCUUCGGAUCGUAAAACUCUGUUAUUAGGGAAGAACAUAUGUGUAAGUAACUGUGCACAUCUUGACGGUACCUAAUCAGAAAGCCACGGCUAACUACGUG
This 496-nucleotide ribosomal RNA is filed under the name uncultured bacterium. RNAcentral's name for it is "partial 16S ribosomal RNA". It matches the Rfam family "Bacterial small subunit ribosomal RNA", at positions 28 to 507 of the family's 1533-position model. The record is from RNAcentral.